This 235-nucleotide long non-coding RNA is filed under the name Setaria italica (foxtail millet). RNAcentral's name for it is "long non-coding RNA (SITA_LNC005044)". The record is from RNAcentral. Lineage: Eukaryota; Viridiplantae; Streptophyta; Magnoliopsida; Poales; Poaceae.
UCAGAGCUGAUGAGGGAGGACCAAUCUGGCGACUCAUCCCUGUCUCCUUCCUUCUCCUCAAGGGACUGCAUACGAGGCAUGACAUCAGCUCCAGGCGGAGGAGGGUUGCAGACAUAAAAUUUUGAUUCAUCCUGCAAGCAACAGAAGACUAGUCAGCACAAUGACAGAUGUCAAAACUAGUACUCAAGGGCUGCAAGCCACAGGUACUUACAAGAUCUGGCAGGUUCGUGGCGUA